GAUGAACGCUGGCUACAGGCUUAACACAUGCAGGUCGAGGGGAAACGACGGGGAAGCUUGCUUCCCCGGGCGUCGACCGGCGCACGGGUGAGUAACGCGUAUCCAACCUGCCUCUGACUGAGGGAUAACCCGUCGAAAGUCGGCCUAAUACCUCAUGGCAUCGUCUGCGGGCAUCCAACGACGAUUAAAGAUUUCAUCGGUCAGGGAUGGGGAUGCGUCUGAUUAGCUUGUUGGCGGGGUAACGGCCCACCAAGGCUACGAUCAGUAGGGGUUCUGAGAGGAAGGGCCCCCACAUUGGAACUGAGACACGGUCGAAACUCCUACGGGAGGCAGCAGUGAGGGAUAUUGGUCAAUGGGCGGGAGCCUGAACCAGCCAAGUAGCGUGCAGGAUGACGGCCCUAUGGGUUGUAAACUGCUUUUAUGCGGGGAUAAAGUGAGGGACGUGUCCUUCAUUGCAGGUACCGCAUGAAUAAGGACCGGCUAAUUCCGUG
This 491-nucleotide ribosomal RNA is filed under the name uncultured bacterium. RNAcentral's name for it is "partial 16S ribosomal RNA". It matches the Rfam family "Bacterial small subunit ribosomal RNA", at positions 28 to 507 of the family's 1533-position model. The record is from RNAcentral.